CUCAGCUUAGAGAACAGGAAGUGGGAGCCACAUACCCCGAGCUGGCGGCUUGAGCCUGUGGUAUCUAGGCUCACCUCACUGCGGUUGGUGGAGGUGAUGGAGGUUGCAGCUUGGCCAGCAUGGUAGAAAGGUGGCAGGGCACGUCUGGCUUUUACCACCCAGUUGCUUCGAGCCAGGAGAUGGAGGAGUCAUCUGUUGCACGCUGGAGGCUGGAGCCUGCAGAUGGCAUGGUUCUGUGGCUCACCUCGCUGCAGUUGGUGGCAGAGACAGAGACUGCAGCUUGACCAGAGUGGUGGAGUGGUUGGAGUGCAGUGGCAUGAUCUUGACUCACUGCAACCUCCACCUCCCGGGUUCAAGCCAUUCUCUUCCCUCAGCCUCCUCAGUAGCUGGAUUACAGGUACCUCCCACCACACCCAGGUAACUUUUUUGUGUUUUUUAGCAGAGAGAGUUCACCGUGUUGGCCAGGC
Molecule: long non-coding RNA, 467 nt
Filed under: Homo sapiens (human)
Lineage: Eukaryota; Metazoa; Chordata; Mammalia; Primates; Hominidae
Description: HSALNT0371990
Source: RNAcentral